This 427-nucleotide ribosomal RNA is filed under the name uncultured bacterium. Its description in RNAcentral is "partial 16S ribosomal RNA". It matches the Rfam family "Bacterial small subunit ribosomal RNA", at positions 355 to 774 of the family's 1533-position model. The record is from RNAcentral.
UGGGGAAUAUUGGACAAUGGGCGAAAGCCUGAUCCAGCCAUGCCGCGUGUGUGAAGAAGGUCUUCGGAUUGUAAAGCACUUUAAGUUGGGAGGAAGGGCAUUAACCUAAUACGUUAGUGUUUUGACGUUACCGACAGAAUAAGCACCGGCUAACUCUGUGCCAGCAGCCGCGGUAAUACAGAGGGUGCAAGCGUUAAUCGGAAUUACUGGGCGUAAAGCGCGCGUAGGUGGUUUGUUAAGUUGGAUGUGAAAGCCCCGGGCUCAACCUGGGAACUGCAUCCAAAACUGGCAAGCUAGAGUACGGUAGAGGGUGGUGGAAUUUCCUGUGUAGCGGUGAAAUGCGUAGAUAUAGGAAGGAACACCAGUGGGGAAGGCGACCACCUGGACUGAUACUGACACUGAGGUGCGAAAGCGUGGGGAGCAAACA